AGGCUCCCUACGGCGGCCUGCUGGCCCGUCAUGGGGACGGGUAAGACGGUGAUGAGCUUGACGCGCAUCGCAGCCAAUCUGCCCUCGCCGUACGAGUGGUUCGGAACAACUCUAGUUGUCGUGCCCAAUUACACCAUGGCCUUGCAGUGGAAAGAGAGGCGCACAAGCACUGCAGGAGCUUCGUCGGCGACUCGUGGGUCACUUCAACCGCCUUGAGAUGGCGCGAUGGGGACUGAGCAAGCGAUUCAAAGUUUUGCUCGUGACCUAUAUGACCUCCCUUCAGCUUCCCAGCGCCCAGAGGUUCAACAAGCUGAAGAAUGACUAUGUCAAUGACGACCGGGGCUUCAACGAGGCUGUGAAUAGGGAGUCAGGAUGGCUUUUCAUGAGGACAUGGUACCGCGUCAUACUCGACGAAGGACACAAUAAAGAAUUACGAAACUCAGAGUACGUUGAUUCGUGGACCAAAUAUGGCGAGGACCCCGAGCCGGACACGGAGAAAACGAGAGAGCCGGAGAGGAGAGAAGAGGAAAAGAGCGAGGGGGAAAUGGGCUGACGGAAUUCGUUUUUUUUCCGCAAACAGCACACGAGCCUGCCUUGCGCUAUCGAGAAAAUACCGAUGGCUGCUCACUGGCACUCCCUUGUCAAACCAGCCGAUGAGUUCUUUCCGUACCUCAAGUUUCUCGGCUUUCCUUUGAUGACGCGAGACGCCUUCAUCAAGGCUUACAUCCCGGAGCAAGUCCCAGCCGAGGCCGUCUGACAGCGCACGGGAGCUGACGAGCCGGCAUGAACAGAGGAAGCCGAACAGCAGUUUUGACGACCUCGUGAGCACGAUCAUGUAUCGUCGCGCGGCCGAGGCCAAGCUCAUGGGAGUUCUAUUAUCGUGCUCAAAGGUACCAAGGAGACGGAAAUAUGGAUUCCGCUCUCCAAGGAGGAGAGAAUGGUGGGGAUGUAAGAGACAACCGGAUUCCGAUGAAAAGACGUGGUGUUAGGUGCUGACCGACGAUGUCCCUUACUCGUGCACAUACACACACACAUAUAUAUAUACACAAACAGCGAUCCUCGAGUACUAUGAAGACAAGAUACGAAAGGCCAAGGCCGAAGUCGAGACGCGGACGGCGAGAGCGAUGGCGAAGUCAAGAAAAAGGAGCGGCACGAGAACUUGGCUCGGUUGGGUCGACUGCGGCAGCUCAGUUCGCACAUGUUCAACCUGAGGCGUUGUUCCGAGGGAUUUUGAGCCACAAGACUUGCAGAAGCUGCAGACGACGUUUUCCGAACGAGGGAACGAAGACCCAUCAGCGUGCUCGACCAGAUCCUGAACAGCAGCGAGGGCGAAGAAGGAAACCCUCUGGCAGGAUUCGAGCCAGGCAUCGAGUUCCUGCGACGCGGAACGUCGACCAGCCGUUUUGGAGGCGUCUUCGCCUGGGGCGAGCUCUUGAGGCUGCUCGAGAGCGAGCAAGACGUGAUGAGGCGACCGUGCGGCGGCGGAAGCUGUAUCGAAGACGACAAGACCUUGUGGACGCGAUUCUUCGCCUG
RNAcentral lists this long non-coding RNA (1533 nucleotides) under Nilaparvata lugens (brown planthopper). RNAcentral's name for it is "uncharacterized LOC120356431". The record is from RNAcentral. Lineage: Eukaryota; Metazoa; Arthropoda; Insecta; Hemiptera; Delphacidae.